This is a non-coding RNA of Mycena metata, 101 nucleotides long. Lineage: Eukaryota; Fungi; Basidiomycota; Agaricomycetes; Agaricales; Mycenaceae. The record is from the annotation of a GenBank genome assembly.
GCCGUCGUAGACCGUGGUGGUCACCCUCCCAUGAUAUCGUGUUUAAUUUUCAGAAUCAAAAUGUGCAGAGGGGAUCAGAGGUUCGACUCCUCCCGGCGGCG